This is a non-coding RNA of Trichonephila clavipes, 75 nucleotides long. NCBI's taxonomy places the organism in Eukaryota, Metazoa, Arthropoda, Arachnida, Araneae, Nephilidae. The record is from the annotation of a GenBank genome assembly.
GUCCCUGUCGCGCAAUGGAUAGCGCGUUGGACUUUUAAUCCAAAGAUAGUGGGUUCAAUUAUACCACCUGGGAAA